AGAUGACAACUAAUUUGUCCCUGCCAGGGAGUGUAGCAAUGCGAAUGAGGGUAUAUUUAGCAAAUCCUAAGGCCCAUUAACCCUUUCAAAAAUGGCCAAAAGUAACCAAGAGAAAAAAGAUGGAGUAAGUGCAGUAAUAGGGGCGGUGCAGGCCACAGGCCCGACCCAAAUCUACUAUUACUUGAGAAGACCCAUUCUAUUCCAAAUGACGUUGCUUCAGCUGACUGCUUGAAGACUGCCUGCCAAUCGUUGGUGUUGGUGAUCGCGUGCCACGGAAAGUAACAAUUUUAAUGAUACUAGAAAGGACCUUAGAGCACCAUGUUCCAAAAUGUUAGAAAGCUGCAAUCCCUUGUUAAACCUUGAGCUAAAUCGUAUUCCUCUGAUUACUCUUCCACGAAUGUGCGCCCUUCUUCGAAUCAGGUACCAAUUCGUUACCAAAACAAAGCAACAAACGCGAUUCCGACGACAUUCUGAGCAUAGGUUUGGCCAAGAAAUUUCACGAAAUUGUGUUACAGCUAAAUAGUUCUUUUCUAAUGGAGAAUACAGCUGUUUGAAUGUGCUGUUCUUCACCAACACACUUCUCACACGGUAACAGUGCACACCGACUCGCUCUGCGGUCUGCGGCUUAACUUAGUUUCAGAUUAUGUUUCGCUUUUGGUUUAGAAUUCUGCAGGUUUCCUUCCCUCAGCUUAUUUGCAUUCUAGAAUAACCUUUUGAUUCCAAAUUUCCAUGAGAUGAUGAAUGAAUUUAGUACCAGAAGCAUCAUCAAAAACAGUUUCUUCAAGCUUGCUUUGUAAAGGUCAGUGACUUCACUGUUAUGAAUGACACUAACUGAACCGAAAUGGUAACCCGAAACACAAGGUUGGAUGCCUUUCAAUAUGAAUCAACCUUCAAUUGGGUAAAGAUCAAGACCGACUUAAAGUUUCGGGCAAUCGACAUAGUUUUGUAAAGUUUUGGUAAUGAUACCGAAGCGGGCGACGGUAUGAAGAACAUGGAGACCGAACCAGCGCCCUUUGACCGUAUUGUUGAAGAUCAUAGAGAUCUAGAUACAUACGCAAGAAAUUUGCAGAAUCACCAUAGAUGAGAUGACGACGAUGUCGUAUUCAUCACGAGGCUUUCUACUUCGUCGCUAACGAUGAGGUUUUGGAAAGGGGUGUGUGUUUGUAAAUAACAGUCUGAGCCAAAUCCAUUUGUGAGGCCAAUAGAGUCAGAUUGGGUUCGCCAUUAGUCACAUGAUUGACGAUGGCAGUUAACAUAGUGAGGUCAAAACCUCCUAUCAUAGAAAUUCUACUUGGGUCUCUUUGUUGGAGCAAUAGGCAUAAUUCUGGAACAGGAUUGUCAUUCACCAAUCGCGUGCCAGGUGUAUGAUUAAAUACUUCACCCAAAUUCUGUUUUUUAAUUUUUUCCUUAUUCUAUUGGGUUUGAUUUCCUUUACGAUGCUUGUUUACGGUUUCAUUGUUUUAGAUCUUUGACGGAUUCUUAUAAUAAUCAUGAUUCCUCAAUCGGGUUUAGUAAGGGUCGUGGUAGUGGUUAUUUGAGUUUUAUGGUGAAUUUGCUCGGGAAUCUAUUUAUGAAUAUGGUUUUGUAAUGAAUUCAAGUCUAAGUGUGAAUGAAUUUUCUUCUUGUGAUUUUGAGGUCGAGUUUCGGUAUUGGUGAAAUACUGAAUUUUCUAUGGUUUGUGUUCAUGGCGAGACUUGAAUUCCCACGGUAAACGUCCAUACAAAACGAAAAGCAAGGAAAAAUCAAGCAUACAAAGAUAGAUCUAGCAAACAAUUGAGAAUGCACAAGCAAGCAAGAAUUCAUGAAAUGAUACAAUUUAAGGCUUACCGAUCGGAGACCCUCUGAUGGUUCUUCAAUGGCGGCGCAAACCCAAUACGGUACUUCCAUGGAAAAGGACAUAGUUUGGCCUUGAAGAAAUAUGAAGCAAGAAGUGUAUGACCAUAAAGAUGAUGAAAAAAGAUGGAUUGUUAAUGCUAGAAUCACAUGUUAUUUCAUUAGAGUAUUUCUCACUAAAAAAUGUACAUGGCAUUCAUAAGAAUCACUUUUACACUCUCCAUACAUGUUUCCUUAUAUGAA
Long non-coding RNA from Lathyrus oleraceus (garden pea), 2076 nucleotides. RefSeq lists it as uncharacterized. The record is from RefSeq and is a predicted model, not a curated record. Lineage: Eukaryota; Viridiplantae; Streptophyta; Magnoliopsida; Fabales; Fabaceae. The transcript is spliced from 2 exons.